RNAcentral lists this long non-coding RNA (9063 nucleotides) under Marmota monax (woodchuck). Lineage: Eukaryota; Metazoa; Chordata; Mammalia; Rodentia; Sciuridae. The record is from RNAcentral.
GGCAGCGUGGCGUCCCAAGCUCACUGCUCCCAACUCUGCCUCCGUAGCCAGGCGGGCCCGGAGUCUGCCCUUGUGAUGAACGGUUUGAAAGGUCCACAAGCGGGUGAGAGGCGACGCGGUGAUUGCCAGUUGCCCUCGCUUGGUCUCCGAGUGCAGCUGGAUCCAGCCUCAUCUCGGACGUCCCCAUACCCAGCUCCUGAGUCCUCAAACUUCUCUGUCUCUCAAGGUUGGGACUGUGGGGUCCCAACGCUACGGAGGCGCCACCCGAGAAGGUAGGAUCAGUGAACCGCUGUAGUCGGGGCCCUGAGAGAGGUUUGUCUACUUGUUUGUGCAUGAUAAUUGGGCGGGUCUGACAGGCGUGUCUACACCACGGUUCUACGACCUGACCUCUCCUCCUCUAACCAAAGUGAAAAUAGCCAUGUUCCAUCCCAGGGCUUCCUGCUCACUCCUCAGUCUUCUCCCUAGUCUCCAAUUCCUUUGCUUAUUUUACGGCUUAAAUAAGCUUAAUGGCUUAUAGAAGCGAGCACCCCCUGGCUGUAUUAACAUCCCUACUUGCUAAAUAUAACUUGGCUGACCAUAAAACUGUCGGUGGAAUUUGGACCUAAUGGAUCUGGUUUUCAUCUUCUGGAAAACGAAGGGUUCCGACAAUGGCUUACCUCUAAGGUCCAGCCUAGAUGACUAGAGACAUCCAAAAUCAAUACUGUAGUUUUUGGACUAUUCAACUACUCUACUCUGAGUCUCUGUAGCAAUUGCAGUAGUAGCACGAAGCAUAAUUAUCAAUUUAUCGUUUGGCUUCUAAAUGAAUUGCUGAAGCUGUUUUACCCCAAGAGAGCCCCUGAAAGUACUUUUUAAAAGUAAAUCUGAGACUGGGCUCAGUAGUGCUUGCUGGUGUGUAGUCCCAACUACUCAAGGAGGCCAAGGCAAGAAAUUUGCUUGAGCCAAAGUUCAAGAACCAUUUGGGCAACAGGGAGGCAUGCCAUCAUGAAUGAAUGAAUGAAUGAAUGAAUGAAUGAAUGAAUGUGUCUGAAAAUGUCUUUUGAUUUGUUUCCUCCUAAAAAUCAAAUACAAUGAUCCCAAAAUCCAGUUAAAUAAAUAAAUGAAUCUGAAAGUGUCUUUUGAUUUCUUUCAUUCUCCUAAAAAUCAAAUACAAUGAUCCCAAAAUCCAGUUCAUUAUUUUUUUUUCCUAAUUGAAGUGGUUUGGGAUUUUUUUUUUUAAUCUCCAGAGAACAACAGCAGCACUGCUUUUUAAUUGUUAAGAGUUUACCAGAACUGAGUUCCAACACCUUUGUAGGGGCUCCAUUGCAAUCAUUCCAGAACUUCAAAGCUUUCUACCCAAACCCUCUAAUUAAGCUACAUCUCAGUGUUUCUCUCCAUUCUUUGCCCUGUCGAGUGGCAUUUGUGCCACUUAGAACUUAGGACUGGCUUCUUUUACCCAGUAUACCUUCAGGACUCUCCUUGCUGGGCUUUGGGUAAUAACAACAGUAACAGAAGGAGUUGUAGUAAUUGUAAUUCUACUAGGAGAUAAGUGCUGCUAUUAUUUGUUAUUAACCAUUCUGUUAUUUUGAACAAUUACUCUAUGAGGUAGAGGAGAUUUUUAUCCUCAAUUUAUAGCUGAGGAACUAAAUCAGAAAACAAUUAAGAAAAUGGCUCAACAUUAUCCAAUCUGCUAAGAUUUGAACAUAGUUCGUCUGACUUUAAAUUCUGGGCUCUGACAUUACGUUGUUCUAUAAAGGAGGAAAUGUACAAAAUUUAUAUCUAGACACUUUUAAAUGAUUUUAAGUGAUAGAUGAUCUUUCAAAACAUUUUAUACACAGUUGAGGCUAUGCAAUAAAAUAUUGUGCCUUCAUUAUGUUGUUUCUCCAUUAAGUUCCUUCAGGAUGAAGGAUGAUGAUUAAUGAGCUCAUUCUCUUUUACCACAGUGCAGGGCCUGAACAUGUAGCUGUCUAUCUAUGCAUUCAUUCUUUGCCUAUUAGAAGACAAGGUAGUUUAUAAAAACAAAAAGUACAAAAGGAUAGAAUAUUUUCAUAUUGAAUCACAUUGAACAGCAGAGCUCCAGUUCAAUUCUUUGCUUUGCUUUCUCCUUUCCUUCUGAUAGACAAUACAUGCAAAGUCCCUAUACUCAUGAAAUUCAGUCUAGUAAGGAAGGCAGGCAAAGAAUGAAUGAAUACAUGCAUGCAUAUAUGAAAUUAUGAUAAUCCCAUGUUUGGCUUCAUAAGAGACCUCCAUUUUUCUUAAAGUUGCUGAGAGCCACAGCUGAGUCGGAAUGGCCCCUGGCAUUUUGCCAAUAGUAUUGGUUGACAGGUGAGGCAUUACUAUCUGCCUUGGCCGCUACUUUGGAGUUCUCACGCUACUUUGAAGUUCUCGUGGGGAUUCAUGGGGAUUCCAGGAGAGUUCCCAUUGGUUGGGGAAGUGCAGGAGGAAGGAUUUCCGGAGGAGAUAUUUCCGGUGGCGGGUUCCUGGAGGAGCCACGUGGUUUUGGGGAGAGUUCCCGGGGAGCAUGUGUGGAGUGUGCUGGUGGAGUUCAGAAAUAAAGUUUGUUCCUGCUUCAGUGGCUAGUGAUUUGUGCCCAGCCAGACUGCGGCAUUUGGCAGCCCGUGUGGGGAACGCCUGAAGCUCCGGGGUAAGUGAAAUUGCUCACCCCUAAGGGAAGGUGAGAGAAUGGGUGACCAUUUCAAAAAACAAUGUGUUCUUGUUUUGAUUUGUUUUGUUUUUGUUUCAAGCUGCCUAUCCCUAGAACUUUCUCAGGCAAACUGGGAAAAAUGGUUAGCUCAAGGUUUGAAGUUGUUCACUCCUGAGGAAGAGAUAGAAAUAGACCACAAAUGCACAUGUCAAGAAAAUAGGAAAAUUGAUACAACGAUUUUUUGUUCCGUUUUUGUUUCAUUCUGUUUCGGUUUUGUUUUGUGUUAUCUUAUUGGGUUGCGUUAUCUUUAUAGUAGAUUAGAAAUUAGUAAAAAACAAACCGAAAGAGUGUUAAGUAAAUUGUUAGAGGUUCAGACCAUGGAGGAAGACAUUUUAGAUCAAGUAAAAGAGAAGGUCUCUCAAGCUAGUCAGAUAGAGGAAGAAAAUUUAAAGGAAGAAAGCUUAGAGGAGAAACAGCUAUUAGGAAAAAAGCUACAACAGGAGGCUGCUACUAACACCGUUCUAUCACCAGAGGGCGUAAUUCAAUCAGCAGCUCCACCUAUGGAGACAGCUGAGUGGCCCUCAACCCCCGUAGUUGAUAGAUGGGAUCCUGAGACAGGACCUCAAAGAUUAGCAUGCCCUGUACUUGAGCAGGCAGGAGGGCAGCGAAUUCACCGUGCUUUAGAUUUCAAAACAGUGAAGCAGUUAAAGGAGGCUGUAACAACCUAUGGUCCUCAAGCACCGUUCACUGUAAGCAUGGUCGAAUCCAUUACCAACUUGGACAUGACGCCAGCAGAUUGGGCUAGUAUGUGUAAAUCUGUGCUAAAUGGAGGACAAUAUUUGUUAUGGAAGGUUGCCAAUGAGGAAUUUUGCAGGGAGACAGCUAGACGAAAUGCAGCAGCCGGUUACCCUCAAAGAAAUCUAGAUAUGUUGUUAGGAAAAGGACCUUAUGAGGGUCAACGGCAACAAAUUGAAUAUGAUCCUGGCGUAUACGCACAAAUUGCUGUAGAUGCGGUUAGGGCAUGGAAAACUUUACAGGGGCAUGGAGGUUUACAAGGUCAAUUAUCUAAGGUAAUACAAGGAACUAAUGAACCUUACGCUGAAUUUGUAGAUAGGCUUAUUCAAGCAGCUUCCAGAAUUUUUGGGGAUACAGAACAGGCAAUGCCAUUUAUAAAACAACUGGCUUAUGACCAAGCAAAUCGUUGUUGCAGAGAGGUCAUUAGACCAUGGAGACAUGAAGAUUUAAACACAUAUAUUAAAUUAUGUAGAGACAUUAAUGAACAAGGGCAAGUCUUAGCAGCAGUACAACAGGCUUUAGAUGCCAGGCCAAAAACAUGCUAUAAUUGUGAUCAAACAGGACAUUUUAAAAGGAGUUGCCCCAUAGGAGGAGGGUUUAACAAAGCUAGAUAUCAAACGAAUAGAAUACCGGGUAUUUGCCCACGAUGCCGUAGAGGGAAACAUUGGGCUAAUGAAUGCCGUUCUCAAACCACCAUAGAGGGUAUUCCGUUAUCAAAAAACAGACAAGGACCAAGUGUUUACCCACGAUAUCGUGGAGAAAGGCAUCGAGCUCCAUUGCCAAAAAACGGACAGGGGGGCCCAAUGCUCCGGGGCCCACGACCACAAAUGUACGGGGCACUGGAGGAACCCAGAAACACCAUGGAGGAACCCAGCAACACCAUCAGGGUAGUGCCCAGGACACAUUAUCCAUCAGAUCUCUCAUCAGACGAACCAGAGGAAGCGCAGGGUUGGACAUCUGCGCCUCCGCCAGAGCAGUACUAACUCCAGAGAUGGGAGUUCAAAUCAUUCCCACAGGAGUAAAAGGACCUCUUCCCCAAGGAACAGUAGGCUUAUUGUUAGGACGCAGUUCUUCUAUGCUAAAAGGACUUAUGAUAAGUCCCGGGGUAAUUGAUCCCGAUUAUGAAGGUGAAAUAAAAAUUAUAGCUAGUUCUCCAAAGGGUAUAUCAGUAAUUUCACCAGGAGAUAGAAUAGCACAGUUAUUAAUAAUACCCAGCCUACAUGAUAAAUUUUCCAGUAGUAGUAUAGAAAGAGGUUCCAGGGGAUUAGGCUCCACAGGUGUAGAUUGGGCUAUGCUGUCUUUAAAUUUAGAUUCUCGUCCCAUGCUAAAACUAAAUAUUCAAGGACAUGAAUUUAAUGGACUACUGGAUACAGGUGCAGACCUUAGCAUCAUAUCUCGUCAAGAAUGGCCAAAACAUUGGCCGUUACAACAAGCCACUCAAACGCUUCGAGGCCUAGGAGUGGCGACUAAUCCCCAUAGAAGUGCAAUGGUAUUAGAUUGGAAGGAUCCUGAAGGAUGUGAAGGAACUAUACAGCCAUAUGUAUUGGAUCAUCUUCCUAUAAAUUUAUGGGGACGAGAUGUCCUAGAUCAAUUAGGUUUGACAUUAACAAAUAACAUCAAUCCAAAUGCGCCCACUAUUAGGGCUAGACAAGGUUUCAGGAAAGAAAAAAGAUUAGGAGAACAAGGCAUAGCAGCACCAAUUCAAAUAGAUCAGGGAAUAAAUAGACAUGGACUGGGUUUUCAGAAGGGGUCACUGAGGCAAUAAAAAUUACUUGGAAAUCAGAUAGACCAGUAUGGGUUCCUCAGUGGCCCCUGACUAAAGAAAAGAUACAAGCAGCCCAUGACCUGGUCAAACAACAAUUAGCGGAGGGACAUAUACAACCUUCCGUAUCUCCUUACAAUACUCCCAUUUUUGUCAUUAAAAAGAAAUCUGGUAAAUGGAGNUUUAAUAGCUUUAUUCACUCAGUAAUAUCUGAGUGCCUUUAAAGUCAUGUAGGAUCCAUACUCCAAACCAAUUUCUUCUCUUAAGAAACUUCUAUCAUGGUUGUGGUCAUACUAACACUCUAGUCAUAAUCUGUCUACACAUUUAUUAUGUGCUUUUCCUCUACCUGCUUCUUAGGUGUCACUUCUCAGGACUCUAUCUUUGGCCUUAUAUUAUUCUAUAUAAAUGAUGACAACCAUUCUCCCUUCAUUUCUAUAUCCCCAGAGCUUAGUUCAGACAUAUUUCAUACAUAAGAGGUGCUCAUCAAAAUUUGUUUCUUUGUGUUAAGCAUGCACUCUACCACUGAGCUACACCCCCAGCCCAAAUGUUUGUUUGAAUAGACUUUGAAUAUUGCAUGAAAAUUAGAAACUAUCACUAUUUUUGUUUCCCCACCGUCACAGGGACUGUUUAAAGGCAUCAGGUGAGUCAACCCUAUUCCAAAAGCUAGAGAGUGUACUUAGUAGAGAUUCAAAGGGAUAAUUAAAUGAGUGCCAUGAAGUUAAUGUUAACCAUAUCAAUCAAUAGUCAUGAAUAUAGAGUGUACAUCUUCAGACUGCUCUUUCUGGAUACCAUGACUCUGAUUUGAACAAGUCCAACUUGAUGGAGAGGAGAUUUAAGGUAGCACAAGGCCAACAUACUGCUCAAAUGCCUGGAGGAGAAGAAUAAACAUAGAGAUGAAAAUAAUAUUGCAAAUUUUAAAUUUUACCUGUAUUUUGUGGCACACACCUGUAAUUCCACAACUCUGGAGGCUGAGGCAGGAGCAUCAAAAGUUUGAGGGCAGCCUCAGCAACAUAGCAAGACCCUGACUCAAAAUAAAAAAAUAAAAAGUACUAAGUAUGUAGCUCAGUGACUCUAUCAAUCCCCAGUACAAAAAACAACAACAACAAAAAAAUGUGUUCUAAGUUACUGCAUUUUCCCUGAAGUCAGUGAACUUUGUAAAUAAGCAUCAGUAUUUGAGGGUUUAUGUCAUUUUUUAAUUAAUUAAAAGCCCUCAGAGAUAGUCCAUCUAAGUCCCAGUGAGCUCUUAUCAGCCUUAGAGGACAUCUUGUCAGCUGUCCCUUUAGAAGAAACAUCAAUUCGUUUCUAUAGCAUCCUUCCUAAGUGCCAGCUCUGUGCUAAACUCUUUAUCCAGAUUACUCCAGUAUAUCUUUAAAGGAAAAAAAAAAAAUAUAUAUAUAUAUAUAUAUAAACACAAUACCUUUAUUUAUUUUUAUGUGGUGCUGAGGAUCAAAUCCAAUGCUUCACACAUGCUAGGCAAAUGCUCUACCGCUGAGCCACAACCCCAGCCCCUCUUCCUUCCAUCUUGACAAUAAUUUAGUGAAUUUAUUUCCUUUGUGGUCCCCAUUUUUCAGAUGGAAGAACUGAAGCUUAAAGAGGUUAACUAAUUUUCCCAGACUCACUUGGACCAUGUGAAAACAGUUUCUCUCACCAAGAGACAGAACCCUUGAGUGUUAUACCAUAUUGCCUACCAGGGAAUUCAGUAUUAGGAAGAGAAGUUAAGGGGAGACUUCCCAAGUAAUGAUAAAGCUGGACUGUCUCCAUCAAGGGCUGGGAUCUCCCAUCUAGGUUUUUCUUUCCCCAGGUGCAAAUUGGGUGGAGCAUUGCAAUCCACAAGGAUCCCGGAGUUAGAAAGGAGAGGAGGGUUCUAAAUAUAAAGGUGAUGUUCCCUCUGUCCUUCAGGUACCACAGGACUAUGGAAAUUUGUGGAAUGAAAGUACCUCUCAGGAGAGCUCAUCUUAAAUUUCCUUUAUUAAGUCUCGCCCACGUCCCACGCAGGAAAUGGGGUUCCUCUGGGUAGAAUGGGCUGGCUGAGAAAUAAAAGGUAGGAAAAAUAGAACAACGAAAAAACUACAGAACACAGAAAAUAUUUUCAAAAAGCAGAGGUGGAGUGGGCUAGCCAAUCAUGUAGAUCUAUACUAAUGGCAAAAUGAAGCCUGCGCCUGCGUCAUUAUAUUGGGGGAUAUCAAAGGCCUUUCAUAGAAUGUUCUCCAAAAAAAGUUACAGGUGGGCUGUCCAGUUCCCAACGUGUUACUCCCAUCUCCCCAGCGACCAUGAGAGAUCGUUAUAGCAGAGGGAAGAUAAAGGUCGUGCCAAGGAUAUAGUUCCCCAAGGUUCAACCUAAAAUCUCCCUGGCUACAUGCCAAGACAAGAUCCUCAUGUGUUUUCCACGGAUGGCUCCCCACAGUUAAGGCCUAUUUAAUUCAUUCUUUCAUUUAUCUUAGAAUUUGGUUUUCUACAACUGGUUUCCCCCAAAAGAUGCCUCACUUUUCUGAUAGACUUUGACUCUCUGUGAGCUUCUCAGGAGGAGAAUCAAGUUAAUAACAAACUGUCAGGGUUCCCCAAAAAGCAAAGCCUGAGACAAAAGUAUAUGUACUACUGCUUUAUUCAGGAGCAUAAGUCCAUGUGAAGGAGACAGAUUUUUAAAAACAGAAAUACAAAAUAAUGAAGUCUGGCUCUUAUUGUUCACAGUCUUGGCCCUGAAUUUUGUAUGCCAGAAAUCCUUAGGUAUGUAAUUAUAAAAAUUUGAAACAUCUAGCUUGGAGUGUGGGGCCAAGUGUUAAGAGGAAGCAACAAGUGAGUUGUUACUUAUGGAAAAUUUAAAUGUGACCUCUUCCAUGUUUAAAAAACAAAACCCUUAAGGCCUUUUCUCUACAAUUAGAAUGGUAUUUAUCCAGAUAUUGCAGGAAAUCGUGUCUUAUUCUUGGGUAGCUUAGAAAGGCAAAAAUCAUAGAGAAAACAUUUUAACUUUCAAGCAUUAAUUAAUGCACAAGGGAAUUUUAUGAGUAAAAAACAUACUUAAAAUGUAUCUUCAGGUAAAAUCAAACAUCAAUUUAUAGGUAUUUGUUUAAAUAAUACUUUAUUAAAAUACCAUGUCUUGAAAUUUCAUAUUGCUCUAAACUCACACUCUAGAAAGUAUUGUUUUAUGGCACCAAUAAAUUGGAAUGUAGCUGAGAGUUUGAUUUAUAUAUCAUGUUUUAUUUUGUUGAAGUAGGGGAGAGAAGUGGUGUUGUAAACAUGAGCUAAGAUGAAUUUAUGAUUUCUAUGGUCAGCUCACCGGGAGAGGAGAGUCCUCAGCCAGCUGCUGAUCAGAUUUGAAUCUAGAUCUAGAGUCCAAGUUAGGUGAAAUCAAACAUGUAAAAGAAUUAGAGGGUUAGUUAAUACCAGGCUGUUCUUCCAUGGAAAAUCUUUUCUCUUUUGGUACCAGGGAUUGAACCCAGGGGUGUUUAACCACUGAGCUACAUCCCUGGCCCUUUUUAAAUUUUUUUAUUUGGUCUCCCUGAGUUGCUUAGGGCCUUGCUAAGUUGCUGAGGCUGGCUUUUGAACUCCAGAUCCUCCUGCUUUAACCUCCUGAGCUGCUGGGAUUACAGGCAUGGGCCAUCACCCCUGGCAGCAAAAUCAUUCCUAUAGCUCUUUUUACAUGAGAAAGGGAAGGAGUAAUUUCUCUAGAUUUUUCAAACUCCAUAUUGUAGUCCAGAAGAAAGAGGUUUUGUUAGGAUGUAAUUAAUGCUAAUAAAUAUAAAAACAAAUAAAUACUUAAUAACCUACUGACAGACUGAGUUCUGUGUUGUUUUAUUUCUAUUUUAAAUUUAUACAAGAGUUUAGAAACUUAUGAAGUAAAUAUUUUAUUUUGUGCAGGAAUUACCUAGACAAGACAGAUGCUACAAAG